AGCAGCCGCGGUAAUUCCAGCUCCAAUAGCGUAUAUUAAAGUUGUUGCAGUUAAAAAGCUCGUAGUUGAACUUCGGAAUUCGUCCAUUGGUCAGGCUUAAUUGUCUGUACUGGUGAGACGAGUUUCUACCUUCUGAAGAACCUUCAUGCUAUUUAGUUAGUGUGUUGGGGAAUCAGGACUGUUACUUUGAAAAAAUUAGAGUGUUUAAAGCAGGCUUAUGUCUGAAUACAUUAGCAUGGAAUAAUGAAAUAGGACGGUACGGUUCUAUUUUGUUGGUUUCUAGGAUCGCCGUAAUGAUUAAUAGGGAUAGUUGGGG
This 316-nucleotide ribosomal RNA is filed under the name uncultured Diversispora. RNAcentral describes it as "bacterial SSU rRNA". It matches the Rfam family "Eukaryotic small subunit ribosomal RNA", at positions 569 to 887 of the family's 1831-position model. The record is from RNAcentral. Lineage: Eukaryota; Fungi; Glomeromycota; Glomeromycetes; Diversisporales; Diversisporaceae.